CCUACGGGGGGCAGCAGUUAGGAAUAUUGGUCAAUGGACGAGAGUCUGAACCAGCCAAGUAGCGUGAAGGAUGACUGCCCUAUGGGUUGUAAACUUCUUUUAUAUGGGAAUAAAAUGUUCCACGUGUGGGAUUUUGUAUGUACCAUAUGAAUAAGGAUCGGCUAACUCCGUGCCAGCAGCCGCGGUAAUACGGAGGAUCCGAGCGUUAUCCGGAUUUAUUGGGUUUAAAGGGAGCGUAGGUGGAUUGUUAAGUCAGUUGUGAAAGUUUGCGGCUCAACCGUAAAAUUGCAGUUGAAACUGGCAGUCUUGAGUACAGUAGAGGUGGGCGGAAUUCGUGGUGUAGCGGUGAAAUGCUUAGAUAUCACGAAGAACUCCGAUUGCGAAGGCAGUUCACUGGACUGCAACUGACACUGAGGCUCGAAAGUGUGGGUAUCAAACAGGAUUAGAUACCCGAGUAGUC
Molecule: ribosomal RNA, 460 nt
Filed under: uncultured bacterium
Lineage: Bacteria
Description: partial 16S ribosomal RNA
Rfam family: Bacterial small subunit ribosomal RNA
Source: RNAcentral